This 799-nucleotide long non-coding RNA is filed under the name Salvia miltiorrhiza (redroot sage). Its description in RNAcentral is "long non-coding RNA (SMIL_LNC008851)". The record is from RNAcentral. Lineage: Eukaryota; Viridiplantae; Streptophyta; Magnoliopsida; Lamiales; Lamiaceae.
UAGAUGACAAUCAUAAAAAAAUAUAAGCAUAUCCAUUAUUCUGGGCUUACAAUAUUUGUUUGGGCUUUUUGUUCCUAUAUAGACGAAUUAUUUGGCCUUUAGGGCUAGUUUGAUAGGGUAUAUUAGGUGUGUUAAUUAGUAUUUCUAUAUAUUUUGGAGUGUUUAAUAGGAUUGUUAAAUAAUAGCCUUGGACCGCAGAAAGACCAAGGCCCGCAGCUAAUAUACUGUUCUUCUUAGAAAAGCCAUCCCACACCUCCCCCAAGUUAAAUUAUACUUACCAUUUUGUACAAUAACAAAUAUUAACUUUUUGUUGACAAAUUUAUCCUCAUCAUCAACCCAACUUCAAAAAUGAAAAAAAGCGAAUACUCUCUCUGUGAAUUAUAUUUGUGUUCUUCGCAAUUGGAAGAACGAAUCUUCUUCUUCUUCGCAACUAGCCAUCAACGACCAGCUACCAUCGUCGCCGCUAUAAACCUCCAUCCCCAACAGAAAAACGUUGUGGCCCACGAAGAAAUCGAGAGCGUCCAUUGAUGACCAAAAAUCAAGAUCCAGAAGUCGACAACUAGAAACGCAAAAUCGAGCCGUCGCCCGUGAAGAAAUGAUUUCUUGUGGCUAAACUGAAGCGGCGAUAACAAUUGAAGCGGCGAUAAUUAGAGAAUUGAUUAAAAAAAUCAUGAAUUGAUUGGAAGANAUUGGUUUGGGAAUAGUUUGUGGGGAUCUUGUUGAGAGAACUGGUUUUUGUGAGUUUGGGAUUGGCAAUUGGAGUUGGAGCCACGGCGGUGAUUUUCUUGUGAAGAAAAAA